CCAGGAGCUAAAAUAAUAUCUAAGUUUCCUCUUUGCCUGACGCCAUCCAUGCAAAAUGUGACUUGCUUCUUCAGCAGCAGCAUGAAAACAAACUAAUACACCACUAUUCCUAGUUUGUACAACGAAAGGCUAAAAAUUUGGGAGAUGCAGGAUGACUGAAGCCCGAUUCUGGGGGUUGUUACAGCACAGUUACAGGGAUGUCCUCAGGUGUCUGGUGAUCCUUGCUUAUAAGUCCAAAUUAAUGAUGAGGCACUAAAAUGCUGAUUGGAAGCUCUCUGUGCAGGCCUUCCUCACACCCAUGUCUUCAGAUACCCAAGGCCUUUAAUACCCAAGUCCUUCCAGGAUUCUGCACAUCUCAUUAGAUUCAUAUUCCCUCUAUUUGAAAAGUUCAUAUGGACCCAGCUCUGUCAUCAUCACAUGUUCUAUAUCCCCAAACCUUGUGACAUCUGCAAAGAAGUACAGAAGACCUCAAGAGAAGAUAAGCUAGAAUUUAUUUAUUUUUAUACCUUUUAUUCAGUUUUUAUUAAAGCUUUCCUACCUUUCCA
Molecule: non-coding RNA, 545 nt
Filed under: Pan troglodytes (chimpanzee)
Lineage: Eukaryota; Metazoa; Chordata; Mammalia; Primates; Hominidae
Source: RNAcentral